UACGAAGGGGGCUAGCGUUGUUCGGAAUUACUGGGCGUAAAGCGCACGUAGGCGGAUUCGUAAGUCAGGGGUGAAAUCCCGGGGCUCAACCUCGGAACUGCCUUUGAUACUGCGGAUCUCGAGUCCGAUAGAGGUGGGUGGAAUUCCUAGUGUAGAGGUGAAAUUCGUAGAUAUUAGGAAGAACACCGGUGGCGAAGGCGGCUCACUGGUCCGGUACUGACGCUGAGGUGCGAAAGCGUGGGGAGCAAACAGG
RNAcentral lists this ribosomal RNA (253 nucleotides) under uncultured bacterium. Its description in RNAcentral is "partial 16S ribosomal RNA". It matches the Rfam family "Bacterial small subunit ribosomal RNA", at positions 524 to 776 of the family's 1533-position model. The record is from RNAcentral.